Molecule: ribosomal RNA, 1201 nt
Filed under: Gergithus sp. 4 NS-2013
Lineage: Eukaryota; Metazoa; Arthropoda; Insecta; Hemiptera; Issidae
Description: SSU rRNA
Rfam family: Eukaryotic small subunit ribosomal RNA
Source: RNAcentral
AGGAGUGAGAGAUAGCGAACGGGGGAAUCCGAGGCCCCGUAAGCGGAAUGAGGUACUCGAAAUCCUUAUGCGAGUAUCAAUUGGAGGGCAAGUCGGGUGCCAGCAGCCGCGGUAAUUCCAGCUCCAAUAGCGUAUAUUAAAGUUGUUGCGGUUAAAAAGCUCGUAGUUGGAUCUGUGUCCCGCACCGUCGGUUCACCGCCUGUCGGUGUUCAACUGGCGUGUAUGCGGGACGUCCUGCCGGUGGUGGUCCGGUUGCCCGCGGGUUCGUAGGGGUCGUCCUUGCUUUGCUCGCGUCGAUCCCGAAGGCCUUCGGUGUUUUCCGGCCGCCUUUUCGAUCCCGUCGCGGUGCUCUUUACCGAGUGUCGAGGCGGGCCGGCACGUUUACUUUGAACAAAUUAGAGUGCUUUAAGCAGGGCCCUGUCCCGCCUGUAUGUUGUGUGCAUGGAAUAAUGGAAUAGGACCUCGGUUCUAUUUUGUUGGUUUUCGGAAUCUGAGGUAAUGAUCAAUGGGGACAGGCGGGGGCAUUCGUAUUGCGACGUUAGAGGUGAAAUUCUUGGAUCGUCGCAAGACGGACCGAAGCGAAAGCAUUUGCCAAGUAUGUUCUCGUCGAUCAAGAACGAAAGUUAGAGGUUCGAAGGCGAUCAGAUACCGCCCUAGUUCUAACCAUAAACUAUGCCUGCCAGCGAUCCGCCGAAGUUCCUCCGAUGACUCGGCGGGCAGCUUCCGGGAAACCAGAGCUUUUGGGUUCCGGGGGAAGUAUGGUUGCAAAGCUGAAACUUAAAGGAAUUGACGGAAGGGCACCACCAGGAGUGGAGCCUGCGGCUUAAUUUGACUCAACACGGGAAAACUCACCAGGGCCCGGACACCGGAAGGAUUGACAGAUUGAGAGCUCUUUCUUGAUUCGGUGGGUGGUGGUGCAUGGCCGUUCUUAGUUGGUGGAGCGAUUUGUCUGGUUAAUUCCGAUAACGAACGAGACUCUAGCCUACUAACUAGGCGUACCCGGUAUCCACAAUCGUGCUACCGGCGAUCAAAUUUCUUCUUAGAGGGACAGGCGGCUUCUAGCCGCACGAGACUGAGCAAUAACAGGUCUGCGAUGCCCUCAGAUGUCCUGGGCCGCACGCGCGCUACACUGAAGGAAUCAGCGUGUCUUCCCUGUCCGAAAGGACCGGGUCACCCGCUGAACCUCCUUUGUCCUACGGAU